UACGAGGGGUCCAAGCGUUAAUCGGAAUUACUGGGCGUAAAGCGUACGCAGGCGGUUUGUUAAGCGAGAUGUGAAAGCCCCGGGCUCAACCUGGGAACUGCAUUUCGAACUGGCAGACUAGAGUCUUGUAGAGGGGGUAGAAUUUCAGGUGUAGCGGUGAAAUGCGUAGAGAUCUGAAGGAAUACCGGUGGCGAAGGCGGCCCCCUGGACAAAGACUGACGCUCAUGUACGAAAGCGUGGGGAGCAAACAGG
RNAcentral lists this ribosomal RNA (252 nucleotides) under uncultured bacterium. Its description in RNAcentral is "partial 16S ribosomal RNA". It matches the Rfam family "Bacterial small subunit ribosomal RNA", at positions 524 to 776 of the family's 1533-position model. The record is from RNAcentral.